CCAAGAAGGCGGUAUCUCUCAAAAGCCUCUGGUGUCACGUACUCAGCUACAGCCAUGUGACGCUUAGACGGCCGCAUAUACUGGCCGAACGUCAUAACAUCAACCCCCGCCGCUCUCACUUUCUCCAUAGUCUUGACCACUUGAUCAGGAGUCUCCCCACAUCCCAGAACAUCACCCCCCGCCGCUCUCACUUUCUCCAUAGUCUUGACCACUUGAUCAGGAGUCUCCCCACAUCCCAGCAUCACCGACGUCUUCGUCAAGGUCCCUGCAGGCGCAUGCUGCUUAGCCAUCCUAAGCACAUCCAUCGACUGCUUAAAGUUAGCACGGUGAUCCCUCACAAAGCUCUGAAGCUCCUCAACCGUCUCAAUAUUGUGCGCAAAGACGUCAAGCCCUGACUUCGCCACCUUCUCAACACAUCCACCAUCUCCCCGAAAAUCAGGAACUAUAUAUAUACAAAUCAAACAUCAAGAAAACAAAAAACUCAUAAAUUAAUUAAAGACGUCGUCGUAGUCAGUGAGGUUACCUAGAGCUUCUAUCAGCAUCUCCGGCUUCAAAGCUUUCAAUCUCUGCACAGUUUGUGCAAAAUGUCCACUCCCCUGAUCAGGCAGAUCGUCACGGUCUACACUGGUGAUGACGACGUAAUCAACACCCCACGAUGCGAUUGCUUCAGCCACGU
This 676-nucleotide long non-coding RNA is filed under the name Brassica napus (rape). RNAcentral describes it as "long non-coding RNA (BNAP_LNC008379)". Lineage: Eukaryota; Viridiplantae; Streptophyta; Magnoliopsida; Brassicales; Brassicaceae. The record is from RNAcentral.